RNAcentral lists this ribosomal RNA (606 nucleotides) under uncultured Pseudomonas sp. RNAcentral's name for it is "bacterial SSU rRNA". It matches the Rfam family "Bacterial small subunit ribosomal RNA", at positions 108 to 710 of the family's 1533-position model. Lineage: Bacteria; Pseudomonadati; Pseudomonadota; Gammaproteobacteria; Pseudomonadales; Pseudomonadaceae. The record is from RNAcentral.
GAGUAAUGCCUAGGAAUCUGCCUGGUAGUGGGGGACAACGUUUCGAAAGGAACGCUAAUACCGCAUACGUCCUACGGGAGAAAGCAGGGGACCUUCGGGCCUUGCGCUAUCAGAUGAGCCUAGGUCGGAUUAGCUAGUUGGUGGGGUAAUGGCUCACCAAGGCGACGAUCCGUAACUGGUCUGAGAGGAUGAUCAGUCACACUGGAACUGAGACACGGUCCAGACUCCUACGGGAGGCAGCAGUGGGGAAUAUUGGACAAUGGGCGAAAGCCUGAUCCAGCCAUGCCGCGUGUGUGAAGAAGGUCUUCGGAUUGUAAAGCACUUUAAGUUGGGAGGAAGGGCAGUAAGCUAAUACCUUGCUGUUUUGACGUUACCGACAGAAUAAGCACCGGCUAACUCUGUGCCAGCAGCCGCGGUAAUACAGAGGGUGCAAGCGUUAAUCGGAAUUACUGGGCGUAAAGCGCGCGUAGGUGGUUCGUUAAGUUGGAUGUGAAAGCCCCGGGCUCAACCUGGGAACUGCAUCCAAAACUGGCGAGCUAGAGUACGGUAGAGGGUGGUGGAAUUUCCUGUGUAGCGGUGAAAUGCGUAGAUAUAGGAAGGAACACC